GGGCCCGUAGCCUAGCCAGGAAAGGGCGCCGGCCUCCGGAGCCGGAGAUCCCGGGUUCAAAUCCCGGCGGGCCCG
Staphylothermus marinus F1 is the source of this 75-nucleotide transfer RNA. It matches the Rfam family "tRNA". Rfam says of the family: Transfer RNA (tRNA) molecules are approximately 80 nucleotides in length. Their secondary structure includes four short double-helical elements and three loops (D, anti-codon, and T loops). Further hydrogen bonds mediate the characteristic L-shaped molecular structure. tRNAs have two regions of fundamental functional importance: the anti-codon, which is responsible for specific mRNA codon recognition, and the 3' end, to which the tRNAs corresponding amino acid is attached (by aminoacyl-tRNA synthetases). tRNAs cope with the degeneracy of the genetic code in two manners: having more than one tRNA (with a specific anti-codon) for a particular amino acid; and 'wobble' base-pairing, i.e. permitting non-standard base-pairing at the 3rd anti-codon position. Lineage: Archaea; Thermoproteati; Thermoproteota; Thermoprotei; Desulfurococcales; Desulfurococcaceae. The record is from Rfam.